RNAcentral lists this ribosomal RNA (207 nucleotides) under Clostridioides difficile. RNAcentral's name for it is "partial 16S ribosomal RNA". It matches the Rfam family "Bacterial small subunit ribosomal RNA", at positions 276 to 500 of the family's 1533-position model. The record is from RNAcentral. Lineage: Bacteria; Bacillati; Bacillota; Clostridia; Peptostreptococcales; Peptostreptococcaceae.
ACGAUCAGUAGCCGACCUGAGAGGGUGAUCGGCCACAUUGGAACUGAGACACGGUCCAAACUCCUACGGGAGGCAGCAGGGGGGAAUAUUGCACAAUGGGCGAAAGCCUGAUGCAGCAACGCCGCGUGAGUGAUGAAGGCCUUCGGGUCGUAAAACUCUGUCCUCAAGGAAGAUAAUGACGGUACUUGAGGAGGAAGCCCCGGCUAA